UCUGUUUACUUUGUUACUUCCUGGAGAGGCUCACCGAGGGCUUGCCGAAAGAAGCAGAAGACAUCAUCCUUUUUGCUGCACAGCACAACAUUCUGAAGAAGCGGCCAAUCAUAGAUGGUUUCUAUACCACCACCGUCCAUACCAGCCUUUACCACCUGAGUGCAUAGCUGAUAAGAAUCACGUGUCGUCAGAGACGCCCACACCAUGGAGAGGUAUUACUUGCAGCUCCAGAAAGAAAUGGCGAGGAAAACCCCGAAAAAACAGGUAGUGGCACGCCUCCUCGACCUAGAGUUUGUGGCACGAAAGGAGUACGUGGCAAGUGUGGGUGGCAACCAGGAGGCAAGGGUUGCUGAAAUCUUUCAGCGAUAUCUCUGCUUUAAUCAGCCUGUUCACGUAAGUUGUAACAAGUGUUCAAGGCCAUUUGGUAGUGUUGAUUAAGGUACAUUAUUGUCACGUCACCAACUGCAUAUGUAACCGCUCGUGUUUUUUUAUUGAAUCCCCUAGUCACUUAAUGGUUUGUGUUAACUAAAAAUGGUUUGUGUUAACUAGACGUUUUCUUAAAGAAAAAUUCUGCAAAAGGGAAGAUAAAGUCAAGCUAAUAUUGUCCCUAGGUGUCUCUUUUGUUCCCCCUCUCUCUAUAUAUACACAACCCACCACUGUUGUUGAGAGGAGUAGGACAAAGUCAUUGUUAAGCCACAAUGCAGUUUUUAAAAGGGACCUUUCUUAACCCGGAUUGAUUUCCUGUAUGUUUCAGUUGCAAGAUGAGCUGAGACGGUACGUCGGCCCACAGAAGAAAUAUUUCCUGCAGCAGCUGAAAGGACGCCCGAUACGAGAAGCAGAACUGAUACUUUAUGCUGUGCAGGAAUGCGCCAACAGAAGGACAUCCGUGGAAGGAUGGUCGGAUGACAAGAAGAUGAAGAAGACCAUGCAGCUGCUGCCAAAGCUGUUUAAGGGGACAGACACGCCUCCGGUGCCUUUGGGAGAGAUGCUGUUUGUGUUGCUGAAGUGGGUACAAGUGCGAAAUUUCCAGAGACAACCUGGGGCGUUGGAACAAGGUGACGACCGAAAAGGAAUCCAGGAAUCUUACACAUAGUGCCAUGGGGAAGGAAGUAACCAGGAGAUGGAAGGAAGCACGGCCAACCACAUCUGUGGCCACAUCUCCUGCACCACAAGCCACUCCUCCACCUUCUACUCCUCUUCUGAAUCUGGUGCCCAAACUCAAGGGCUGGGUGAGAGAAAGAAAGGAGUUGAAGGUGGAGGAACUAGUGGCUGCAGGAAUGUAAAACUCCAAAAGCUGUGGGAAGAGUGGUUGACAAUAUAAGGAAUAACUAUGUGAAAGAAGAUGAGUCAAGUACAGCUGCUGGUUAUGUUAGCUGUAUUUAGAAUAUCAUGUCAUUUAUUACCAUUUAUGUGUAUAUAAGUUGUUUUUCUCUAUUGCAACAUGUAUGCAAUAAUUUGUUAUGCUUUCUGCUCCAUACUUCUAUACUGUGCUUGAAGAAAGUCUCAAUCAUAUUGCUUCUCCGCCGCACAUAUCUACAUGGAAGAGCCCAAUCGCCACCGUGUGGUUGCAGGGCCUCCGGGCACCACCCAGACUAAAACAUCAGGGAUGUUGUGGAGCAGGAGGACGACGAACUGAAAAAGGUCAGAAGAGUUGACCGAAGAGUAGGCGAAGUGCGAGCUCCUCGAAAGCAGGAUAAAGGCAGAUGAAGAGGAGGAAAUGGCUUUGAAGACAAAAAGAUGUUACAAAAUGGAAGAACGCUGUUGUGUCACAAUUACAAGCAAGAUCAUUUC
Molecule: long non-coding RNA, 1791 nt
Organism: Branchiostoma floridae (Florida lancelet)
Lineage: Eukaryota; Metazoa; Chordata; Leptocardii; Amphioxiformes; Branchiostomatidae
Exons: 5
Source: RefSeq, a predicted model, not a curated record